This 1009-nucleotide long non-coding RNA is filed under the name Mytilus galloprovincialis (Mediterranean mussel). Lineage: Eukaryota; Metazoa; Mollusca; Bivalvia; Mytilida; Mytilidae. The record is from RNAcentral.
GUCAGUAACUGCUAGAAGUUCUUUGUUCAUUUAUGUAUCAUUGUCAUUUUGUUAAGUUUCAUUUGUUACCUAUUCUGACAUCGGACACGGACUUCUUUUAAACUGAGUUUUACUGUCGGUAUUGCUGGGUUUUUUUUUUAUCUGCAAUGGCUAGAGGUACAAAAGGAGGGUUGAGAUCUCACAAAACAUGUUUAACUCCGCCGCAUUUUUGUGUCCGUCCAAGGUCAGGAGCCUCUGGCCUUUGUGUUGGUCUUCUAUGAAUUUUAAUUUUAGUUUCUUUUAUAUAUUUUGGAUAUAUAAAAGAAUAUGUGGUAUGAGUGCCAAUUAGACAACUCUCCAUCCAAGUCACAAUUUAUAAAAGUAAACCAUUAUAGCUUAGGCUCACAACAAACAGCAAGCUAUAAAGGGUCCCCAAAAUUACUAGUGUAAAACCAUUCAAUCCGGAAAACCAACGGCCUAAUCUAUAUGAAAAACGAGAAACGAGAAACACUUAAGAAGUUUAGUAUGACGUCCAUUAUCGCAUAACUAGUACAUAUUUUUGUUUAUGGGCCAGCUGAAGCGCGCCUUUGGGUGCGAGAUUUUCUUGCUGUAUUGAAGAACCAAAUGUAUCUGAGAAACAAAUCUUAUAAAACAUGCGCACCUUAUAAUUAUUUUGAACAUUAAAUACAGUUAAACUAUACCUUUAUUAUCGUAUCUAAAAAAUAGACCAAUUCUGAUAUAUUUAAAAUUGACCAAUUAUAAACCAUGAAAAUAAUAUCAAGGUCAGAUAAAGAUAUAUACAUUACGAUCAUUCCAUAAAACAAAUAAAGUUCACUUAUUCCUUAUAGUAUCUGAAAAACAGACCAAACAAGAAUCAAAUAACACGAACCAUGAAUAUAAGUCAAAGUUAGAUUAAUAUUACUGCAAGAUAGACAAUUACACCAUACAAACAUUCCGUACACCAAAUAUAUCUAGCUAAAUGCUUAUAGUAUCCGAGAAAUACACCAAAACACAAAACAUUACUUUGCCG